UGACAGAUAAUCAGGCACAACGCCAGCAUGAACAGCAACAGGCAGAAUCCCAAAAACGCUAUCUAAUGUCUCAGGCUACAAAUUCCAUCACUCCACUCCAAUAUGCUGUCGAUCUCAACAUGGCAACGGACACAGAGAAAUCGGCACUGACCGAAUGGAAAAAAUACAUGGUGUUAUUAAACCGUGUAGACUGUUCGGC
Molecule: small RNA, 199 nt
Filed under: Xenorhabdus thuongxuanensis
Lineage: Bacteria; Pseudomonadati; Pseudomonadota; Gammaproteobacteria; Enterobacterales; Morganellaceae
Description: IS009
Source: RNAcentral